GAUGAAGAACGUAGCGAAAUGCGAUAAGUAAUGUGAAAUGCAGAAUUCAGUGAAUCAUCGAAUCUUUGAACGCACAUUGCGCCCCUUGGUAUUCCGGGGGGCAUGCCUGUCCGAGCGUCAUUGCUGCCCUCAAGCACGGCUUGUGUGUUGGGCCCCGUCCUCCGAUCCCGGGGGACGGGCCCGAAAGGCAGCGGCGGCACCGCGUCCGGUCCUCGAGCGUAUGGGGCUUUGUCACCCGCUCUGUAGGCCCGGCCGGCGCUUGCCGAUCAACCCAAAUUUUUAUCCAGGUUGACCUCGGAUCAGGUAGGGAUACCCGCUGAACUUAAGCAUAUCAAUAAGCGGAGGA
Molecule: unclassified non-coding RNA, 346 nt
Filed under: soil metagenome
Description: partial contains 5.8S ribosomal RNA, internal transcribed spacer 2, and large subunit ribosomal RNA
Rfam family: 5.8S ribosomal RNA (bases 1-120)
Source: RNAcentral